This 406-nucleotide ribosomal RNA is filed under the name uncultured bacterium. RNAcentral describes it as "partial 16S ribosomal RNA". It matches the Rfam family "Bacterial small subunit ribosomal RNA", at positions 30 to 526 of the family's 1533-position model. The record is from RNAcentral.
AUUGAACGCUGGCGGCAGGCCUAACACAUGCAAGUCGAGCGAGCGGCGGCCGGGUGAGUAAUGUCUGGGAAACUGCCUGAUGGAGUGGGAUAACUACUGGAAACGGUAGCUAAUACCGCAUACCAUCAGAUGUGCCCCGAUGGGAUUAGCUAGUAGGUGGGGUAACGGCUCACCUAGGCGACUAUCCCUCGCUGGUCUGAGAGGCUGACCAGCCAAACUGGAACUGAGACACGGGCCAGACUCCUACGGGAGGCAGCAGUGGGGAAUAUUGCACAAUGGGCGCAAGCCGUAUGCAGCCAUGCCGCGUGUGUGAAGAAGGCCUUCGGGUUGUAAAGCACUUUCAGCGGGGAGGCGUUACCCGCAGAAGAAGCACCGGCUAACUCCGUGCCAGCAGCCGCGGUAAUUC